AUCCAUGUGAAGAGUCCCAAACAGGACGAAAUGCACAUUCUGAAU
RNAcentral lists this non-coding RNA (45 nucleotides) under Trichobilharzia regenti. Lineage: Eukaryota; Metazoa; Platyhelminthes; Trematoda; Strigeidida; Schistosomatidae. The record is from RNAcentral.